This 378-nucleotide unclassified non-coding RNA is filed under the name uncultured Simkaniaceae bacterium. RNAcentral describes it as "contains 16S-23S intergenic spacer region". Lineage: Bacteria; Pseudomonadati; Chlamydiota; Chlamydiia; Parachlamydiales; Simkaniaceae. The record is from RNAcentral.
UCCUAGUUAACCUAGGCAGUCUCACUAGAGUCCCCACCAUAACGUGUUGGCAACUAAUGAUAAGGGUUGCGCUCGUUGCUGGACUUAACCAAACACCUCACGGCACGAGCUGACGACAGCCAUGCAGCACCUGUACAAAGGCCCUUGCGGGCGUUAACAUUUCUGCUAACUUCCUCUGUAUGUCAAACCUGGGUAAGGUUCUUCGCGUUGCAUCGAAUUAAACCACAUGCUCCACUGCUUGUGCGGGCCCCCGUCAAUUCUUUUGAGUUUCACCCUUGCGAGCGUACUCCCCAGGCGGUAUACUUAUCGCGUUCGCUUCGACACAGUCAGGGUUGAGCCUAACUACAUCAAGUAUACAUCGUUUACGGCAAGGACUAC